CCUGGGGGUCUGCAGGCUGUCUAAGGGGUCCGCAAAAGAUGACAAUGAUCAGACAAAAGUAUGUGAAUACCCAUAACUAGAAAUCACGGGGCCCA
This is a long non-coding RNA of Gavialis gangeticus (Gharial), 95 nucleotides long. RefSeq lists it as uncharacterized. The transcript is spliced from 3 exons. The record is from RefSeq and is a predicted model, not a curated record. NCBI's taxonomy places the organism in Eukaryota, Metazoa, Chordata, Crocodylia, Gavialidae.